GAGUGAAUGAUGACAAAUAAUUAUCACAAAGAGAGAUAAUGACACAAAAAUCAUGUACAAAAGCAUUAUACUGAGACCC
RNAcentral lists this small nucleolar RNA (79 nucleotides) under Neotoma lepida (desert woodrat). Its description in RNAcentral is "Small nucleolar RNA SNORD115". It matches the Rfam family "Small nucleolar RNA SNORD115". Rfam says of the family: HBII-52 is a member of the C/D class of snoRNAs, which contain the C (UGAUGA) and D (CUGA) box motifs. HBII-52 is encoded in a tandemly repeated array with another C/D snoRNA, HBII-85, in the Prader-Willi syndrome (PWS) region of chromosome 15. The record is from Rfam by way of RNAcentral. Lineage: Eukaryota; Metazoa; Chordata; Mammalia; Rodentia; Cricetidae.